Vigna angularis (adzuki bean) is the source of this 1126-nucleotide long non-coding RNA. RefSeq lists it as uncharacterized. Lineage: Eukaryota; Viridiplantae; Streptophyta; Magnoliopsida; Fabales; Fabaceae. The record is from RefSeq and is a predicted model, not a curated record. The transcript is spliced from 3 exons.
AUUAAACACGAACCACUUGAUUGAAAACAUGUCUUCUUGAAUGUUCUCUUUCCUUAUCUCACUCUGGAAUUGUCAUUAUCUAUUCUUCAACUACUUUUUCAACACCUAAACCGAUUCUUCUCCAACUUGUCUCCUUCCAUAGCCCAAAACUCUCUCUCACUGGUUUCUUCCUUCUUCUAUUCCGAUUAAAACACCUUUUAAUAUUCAGUCACUGUUCUCUUCAACUCCUCACUCCUGUUUUUGUGAAUUCCAUCAACAACUCCUGUGAAGAGAGUGCGAAUGAAUGAAGUGGUGGACCCGUUGAACAGUUUGUUGACAGAAGAUAGAGAGCACAGAUGAACAUACCCAAAAGGCUUUGUGUGUGUGCAGUUUUGUGCUCUCUGAUCUUCUGUCAAUGUACUCAGUUUCUCACCAACUCUUCUUUAGUUUCUUGAUUUCAUAUGAGAAUUGAAUACCCUUUGGUUUGGUUUGAUUUCCUUGAACAUGCAAAUUUCUCAAUGAAAAAACUCAGGUAAGUACUUGCUGUAUGUUAGCAUACACAUACACAUACACAUAUCUGUGUUGUUUGUGCUGCAAAAACUGUGACACUGCAUUCGAAAGCACAUGUUAAAAAAGCUAUCAGAAAACACUCAAAAUUUGUCUUUGCUUUUUCAGCAGUUUCUUUCUUGAAUCGUUGGCUGCAUGAUGAUUUUGUUGUUUAGUUAACUAUAUUUAUGUAUAAAAUAUGAAGUGUUCACUCAACGCAGCACUGAGCAAGCAAAGCACAUCUUCACCUUCAGCAGUUGACUUGACUGAGUCAGAUGUGCUUUGUGAGCGGUUAGAGUUGAAGUUUACCUAACACAGGUUGAGAGAAUCUUCAGAAUGCGUUGGAGAUUGAAGGGAAACAAAGUUUAGCUGUCACAGCAGAUAAGUAAGGAUACGUGCUCCCUGCUCACAUCUAUUUUUGGACAAAUUGGAAAAGCCUUGUCUUUUGUCCUUUCUCACUCCAAAUUUGAAACUUCAACCUCUGCUUGUACUCCUCUUUUGGCCUCUUCCUCCAUUUUUCUUUCAAGUUUUUGGUCUAUCAGACUACAAAAUAUGUAACAGAAUCUUUUAUCAUUUACAAAUGCAUAAACAAUCAUGCCAA